RNAcentral lists this transfer RNA (82 nucleotides) under Oryctolagus cuniculus (rabbit). It matches the Rfam family "tRNA". From Rfam's summary of the family: Transfer RNA (tRNA) molecules are approximately 80 nucleotides in length. Their secondary structure includes four short double-helical elements and three loops (D, anti-codon, and T loops). Further hydrogen bonds mediate the characteristic L-shaped molecular structure. tRNAs have two regions of fundamental functional importance: the anti-codon, which is responsible for specific mRNA codon recognition, and the 3' end, to which the tRNAs corresponding amino acid is attached (by aminoacyl-tRNA synthetases). tRNAs cope with the degeneracy of the genetic code in two manners: having more than one tRNA (with a specific anti-codon) for a particular amino acid; and 'wobble' base-pairing, i.e. permitting non-standard base-pairing at the 3rd anti-codon position. The record is from Rfam by way of RNAcentral. Lineage: Eukaryota; Metazoa; Chordata; Mammalia; Lagomorpha; Leporidae.
AGAGCUGUGGCAUAGUGGGUAAAGCUGCUGCCUACAGUGAUGGCAUCCCAUUUGGGCACGGGUUUGAGUCCUGUCUGCUCCA